Piptocephalis cylindrospora is the source of this 73-nucleotide non-coding RNA. The record is from the annotation of a GenBank genome assembly. Lineage: Eukaryota; Fungi; Zoopagomycota; Zoopagomycetes; Zoopagales; Piptocephalidaceae.
GCCUUCUUGGCUCAGUUGGCAGAGCGUCCGCCUAGUAAGCGGAAGGUCGGCGGUUCAAAUCCGCCAGAAGGCA